GGCUUAAUAAGCCGUUGAUAAGAAGCAUGAUUUAUAAACGUUUAUUAGGGGUUUCUUAACUAAUAAGCAGAUUAGACCCGUUAUGUUGGCAUCUUGGCACAUCAUAGACAAAAAUAUGGCUGAACAUUAAUUAAAAAAAAAAGUUUGACAGCAGCACUAGCGGUAAAUCAUAAAAUCCUGAACAAUACGAUGCACAAUUUUGACCAGUUUUCUGGGUUAUUAUAUAUUAAAAUAGCCUCUGCAUCACAAAAACAAAUAAAUAAUAUUGCACGGCCGGAAGUUUUACGAAACUCGGUAAGCAACCACCUAUAUCAUAGUCUGAUAAUCAGAUAUGUUACGAGUAAAGUUCAUUGCAAGAUUUGCAAGCAAUAUUGAUAAAACUAUGUGUUAUUGCUUAUAGUUUCAAUAUAUUGUGGAAUGAGGGAAAGAGGGCAGUUGCACAUUUCAAGUCAAGAAUUCUGCCUGCGCGCCAUCGCCACCGUAAUACCACGGAUUCCAACACAUUUUGUUCUGGUGGCGAAACACAAACGAUAUUGACACUAUUCAUAUCAAAUGAUCGGUGAAGAUAAAUCAGGGCGCAGAGUUAAAGAUAAGCGCUUAUAUAUGCAACUUGACAAUGACAAUGUUUGCAGUGAAACAUCUCAGCCAAUAGCCGCAUUAAAAGGCAAACUGCACAAUUCAUAAUGAGGCAGAAAUGUCCAUUAUUCACAGGAGUGUCGCUGUUGGUUGUGAGUAUUCCAUCAUCAGCUAUUUGUCCGGAGCUGGCUACACAAUCCGGAGGCCACACUCUUCUGGCAUCUAACCGGCCUGCACACCGCCAUCAAAUGAAGUUGGUUGUACUGAAAUAAAGAAAAAAUAUUAACUAGUUUAAUGAUUGUCAAAUGUAAUAAAAUUGUUUUAUUUAAGUGGGUUGUUUGAUUUCCCUAAAUUAACACAUGAAAUAUGUUGAUAUGUUAUAAUAAAAAUCUCAGUUAAAAACUCA
Long non-coding RNA from Cydia fagiglandana, 982 nucleotides. RefSeq lists it as uncharacterized. NCBI's taxonomy places the organism in Eukaryota, Metazoa, Arthropoda, Insecta, Lepidoptera, Tortricidae. The transcript is spliced from 3 exons. The record is from RefSeq and is a predicted model, not a curated record.